UACGUAGGGCGCAAGCGUUUGUCCGGAAUUAUUGGGCGUAAAGAGCUCGUAGGCGGUUUGUCGCGUCUGCUGUGAAAACCUAAGGCUCAACCUUGGGCUUGCAGUGGGUACGGGCAGACUAGAGUGCGGUAGGGGGUGACUGGAAUUCCUGGUGUAGCGGUGGAAUGCGCAGAUAUCAGGAGGAACACCGAUGGCGAAGGCAGGUCACUGGGCCGCAACUGACGCUGAGGAGCGAAAGCAUGGGGAGCGAACAGG
This 255-nucleotide ribosomal RNA is filed under the name uncultured bacterium. RNAcentral's name for it is "partial 16S ribosomal RNA". It matches the Rfam family "Bacterial small subunit ribosomal RNA", at positions 524 to 776 of the family's 1533-position model. The record is from RNAcentral.